Oryza sativa Indica Group (long-grained rice) is the source of this 200-nucleotide microRNA precursor. It matches the Rfam family "MIR812 microRNA precursor family". NCBI's taxonomy places the organism in Eukaryota, Viridiplantae, Streptophyta, Magnoliopsida, Poales, Poaceae. The record is from Rfam.
AAAAAGACAAACCAUGGAUUUUCGUGUCCAACUUUGACUGUCCGUCUUAUAUGAAUUUAUUUUAUAAUUCGUAUUUUCAUUGUUGUUAGAUGAUAAAACAUGAUUAAUAUUUUAUGCGUGACUUGUCUUUUUUUUUCAUAAUUUUUUCAAAUAAGACGAACGGUCAAUCGUUGGGCAUGGAAAAUAGGGUUUGUCUUUUU